Oncorhynchus masou masou (cherry salmon) is the source of this 1591-nucleotide long non-coding RNA. RefSeq lists it as uncharacterized. The transcript is spliced from 3 exons. The record is from RefSeq and is a predicted model, not a curated record. NCBI's taxonomy places the organism in Eukaryota, Metazoa, Chordata, Actinopteri, Salmoniformes, Salmonidae.
AACAGAUGGAUGCAGUGGGUGGCUCACUAUAAGACGUCAGGUAGAGUAGAGUACAGUUCACAAUGUAGUGUGUGGGUGGGUGGUGGGUACAACAUGACGGGUUAAGGGAAGGCUCGUGCUGUAAGAGGUUUUGAAAGACAAUGUCUGGCGUCGUUGUUAUUCGGUGUGACUCUGAUGAAAAAGGUCAUUAGUCUUCAUCACUCAUGGUCACAGCCCACUCAUCAAAAUAUCAUCCUUUGAGUCAAGGUACGUUUCUAGCAGGCUGCUAUUUCAAAUGGAGGAAUACAAAAUGUAUUCAUGCCCAUGUGUUUCUCUGCACUAAUAAUGUUAACUUUUUUUUCUUAAGUAAACAACAAAUUUACCUAUUCGUUAAUAGAUGAUGUACUGUAUGUAUUUAUGUAUUUCAUAAUGUAAACCUAUAGUAUUUAUCUCCUACAGGAUGAAAGCCUUUACAAGAUCAUUCCACAGGCUCAAGAUAGAAGUAAUACCCAGACAUGUACAACUUUUGCCAGGGAAAGAGAGCUGCAAUUGGGACUUACACCAUGGCUACUACACAUGUAUAUUGUGUUACAGUAUUCCCCUUCAAGAAAGAAGCCGACACUGCACCUCAAACUCGUACAAGUGCAUGCUCCCCAACUUGUUGUGGAAUGAUCCCUCCACUGCCACCAGUGUAGCAGGAGAGAAAAAGCUGCAACAGGAACUCGAGGCAAUAGUCCAAUAGACUGUUCCACAAAAUUCCAGGCCUCUGGGCAGAGGCAGUACAACUAAUACAUACUUUGUGUUACACAAGCAACUGAAAAUUAAGAAAAAGAGCAAACCUGGCAUGACAGAGCUCACCCUCCUUGUUAGUUUGUCUGCCCCCCAGGGCUCCAUGUUCUACCACAUGCCACCCUCCCAGAAUAUCAGAAUCUGUCCCUCCUCUGAGUCCAGCGCGUUGGGGUAUCCUGGAGUGUGCGUGAGUGGGCCCUCCAGCAUAGGUCAAGACCAUGGGCUGGGGGUGGAGGAGGCCGGUACACUCACCCAAAUGACUCAUGGGUAUGGUGAAUGGCAGUGCCUCUGCCUCCCUCUACCAACCCCACUUUCUCCCCAGUUUUGUCCUUCAGAACUCAUGCUGGCUGUGGUAACCGUGUGCCGAGGGCAAGACGAGGAGGAGUAGGUAAAUCAAUGCUCACCUGACAUUCGCUUCACUGUGGAAAAUGUAUAGUAUCCAUGUAGAGUGGCAUUACCUGGAAUGGAAGAGAGCUGCUGAGGAGGUGGGCAGCUGACAUCCUUUCUCAUGUUCCAUUAGCAAGACAGUUACACCAUCAGUCACCGUCACAGAAUGAGUAACAGGAAAAUAACCACUUCAGGUCAGUUUUAUUGUCAUGGCCGUUGAAAGAAGAGGACCAAGGUGCAGCGUGGUGAGCGUACCUAUUCCUUUUAUUAUUAUGAUGCCGACAAAAACAAUAAACAAUCCAAAAACCAACCGUGAAGCUAAAGGCUAUAGUGCCAACAAACAAAGACAACUUCCCACAAAGAAAGGGGGGAAAAGGGCUACCUAAGUAUGGUUCCCAAUCAGAGACAACGAUAGACAGCUGUCCCUGAUUGAGAA